This is a non-coding RNA of Tetraodon nigroviridis (spotted green pufferfish), 110 nucleotides long. NCBI's taxonomy places the organism in Eukaryota, Metazoa, Chordata, Actinopteri, Tetraodontiformes, Tetraodontidae. The record is from Rfam.
GCCAGAUAUGGUGACAUGGUUCCAAAAAAUCAUGGAGAAGAUCUUUGGUUCCAUUUGUUCUGAGUGGCGUUCUGGUCAUCGCACUGCCGGUUCCUGUCAUCGUGUCUAAC